GACGAACGCUGGCGGCGUGCCUAAUACAUGCAAGUCGAACAGUCUUUUCUAUGGAAGCUUGCUUCCGCUGAGAAGAUAGUGGCGAACGGGUGAGUAACGCGUGAGAAACCUGCCUUUCACAAAGGGAUAGCCUCGGGAAACUGGGAUUAAUACCUUAUGAUACUUACAUUUCACAUGAGAAGUAAGUUAAAGCGCAAAGCGGUGAAAGAUGGUCUCGCGUCCCAUUAGUUAGUUGGUGAGGUAACGGCUCACCAAGACCCGCGAUGGGUAGCCGGGCCUGAGAGGGUGAACGGCCACACUGGAACUGAGACACGGUCCAGACUCCUACGGGAGGCAGCAGU
Molecule: ribosomal RNA, 341 nt
Filed under: uncultured bacterium
Lineage: Bacteria
Description: bacterial SSU rRNA
Rfam family: Bacterial small subunit ribosomal RNA
Source: RNAcentral